AACGAACGCUGGCGGCGCGCCUAAUACAUGCAAGUCGAGCGAGAAGACGUAGCAAUACGUUUGUAAAGCGGCGAACGGGUGAGGAAUACAUGGGUAACCUACCCUCGAGUGGGGAAUAACUAGCCGAAAGGUUAGCUAAUACCGCAUACGCUUCCCGGACUGCGGUUCGGGAAAGAAAGCGAUACCGUGGGUAUCGCGCUCUUGGAUGGGCUCAUGUCCUAUCAGCUUGUUGGGAGGUAAUGGCUCACCAAGGCUUCGACGGGUAGCUGGUCUGAGAGGACGAUCAGCCACACUGGCACUGCGACACGGGCCAGACUCCUACGGGAGCAGCAGUAAGGAAUAUUGCGCAAUGGACGAAAGUCUGACGCAGCGACGCCGCGUGGGGGA
Molecule: ribosomal RNA, 387 nt
Filed under: uncultured bacterium
Lineage: Bacteria
Description: bacterial SSU rRNA
Rfam family: Bacterial small subunit ribosomal RNA
Source: RNAcentral